Molecule: ribosomal RNA, 598 nt
Filed under: Thalassiosira minuscula
Lineage: Eukaryota; Bacillariophyta; Thalassiosirophyceae; Thalassiosirales; Thalassiosiraceae
Description: partial Bacterial large subunit ribosomal RNA
Rfam family: Bacterial large subunit ribosomal RNA
Source: RNAcentral
UGUCUGAACAUGGGGGGACCAUCCUCCAAGGCUAAAUACUCCUUACCGACCGAUAGUGAACCAGUACCGUGAGGGAAAGGCGAAAAGAACCCCGUUGAGGGGAGUGAAAUAGAACCUGAAACCGUGUGCGUACAAGCAGUAGGAGCAGACUUGUUCUGUGACUGCGUACCUUUUGUAUAAUGGGUCAGCGACUUAUAUUUUGUAGCGAGGUUAACCGAAUAGGGGAGCCGUAGUGAAAGCGAGCGUUAACUGCGCGUCUAGUUGCAAGGUAUAGACCCGAAACCCGGUGAUCUAGCCAUGGGCAGGUUGAAGGUUGAGUAACAUCAACUGGAGGACCGAACCCACUGACUUUGAAAAGUCAGGGGAUGACCUGUGGCUGGGGGUGAAAGGCCAAUCAAACCCGGAGAUAGCUGGUUCUCCCCGAAAGCUAUUUAGGUAGCGCCUCGGACGAACACCAUGGGGGGUAGAGCACUGUUAAGGCUAGGGGGUCAUCCCGACUUACCAACCCUUUGCAAACUCCGAAUACCCAUGAGUGCUAUCCGGGAGACACACGGCGGGUGCUAACGUCCGUCGUGAAGAGGGAAACAACCCAGACCGC